GAUGAACGCUGGCGGCGUGCUUAACACAUGCAAGUCGAACGGAAAGGCCCCAGCUUGCUGGGGUACUCGAGUGGCGAACGGGUGAGUAACACGUGGGUGAUCUGCCCUGCACUUUGGGAUAAGCUUGGGAAACUGGGUCUAAUACCGAAUAUGACCACUUCUUGGAUGUUGUGGUGGAAAGCUUUUGCGGUGUGGGAUGAGCCUGCGGCCUAUCAGCUUGUUGGUGGGGUAAUGGCCUACCAAGGCGGCGACGGUUAUCGGGCCUGAGAGGGUGUAGGGAGACAUUGGGACUGAGAUACGGCCCAGAAUCAUACGGGAGGCAGCAGUGGGGAAUAUUGCACAAUGGGCGCAAGCAUGAUGCAGCGACGCCGCGUGGGGGAUGAAGGCCUUCGGGUUGUAAACUCCUUUCGCUAUCGACGAAGCCACUUGUGGUGACGGUAGGUAGAUAAGAAGCACCGGCUAACUACGUGCCAGCAGCCGCCGUAA
This 486-nucleotide ribosomal RNA is filed under the name uncultured bacterium. Its description in RNAcentral is "partial 16S ribosomal RNA". It matches the Rfam family "Bacterial small subunit ribosomal RNA", at positions 28 to 523 of the family's 1533-position model. The record is from RNAcentral.